This 782-nucleotide ribosomal RNA is filed under the name uncultured Acidobacteriota bacterium. RNAcentral's name for it is "bacterial SSU rRNA". It matches the Rfam family "Bacterial small subunit ribosomal RNA", at positions 8 to 796 of the family's 1533-position model. The record is from RNAcentral. Lineage: Bacteria; Pseudomonadati; Acidobacteriota.
AGAGUUUGAUCAUGGCUCAGAAUCAACGCUGGCGGCGUGCCUAACACAUGCAAGUCGAACGCGACUCAGGCUUCGGCCUGAGUUGAGUGGCGAACGGGUGAGUAACACGUGGGUGACCUACCUUCGAGUGGGGGAUAACGUCCCGAAAGGGACGCUAAUACCGCAUAACAUCCUGCCUUUGGACAGGUGGAGAUCAAAGCUGGGGAUCGCAAGACCUGGCGCUUGAUGAGGGGCCCGCGUCCGAUUAGCUAGUUGGUGAGGUAAUGGCUCACCAAGGCAACGAUCGGUAGCCGGCCUGAGAGGGCGGACGGCCACACUGGGACUGAGACACGGCCCAGACUCCUACGGGAGGCAGCAGUCGGGAAUUUUGCCCAAUGGACGAAAGUCUGAGGCAGCAACGCCGCGUGAGGGAUGAAGGCCUUCGGGUUGUAAACCUCUUUUCUCAGGGACGAUGAUGACGGUACCUGAGGAAUAAGCCACGGCAAACUACGUGCCAGCAGCCGCGGUAAUACGUAGGUGGCAAGCGUUGUCCGGAUUUACUGGGCGUAAAGAGCGCGCAGGCGGUCGGUCAAGUCGGAUGCGAAAGCCCCCGGCUCAACUGGGGAGGGUCGUCGGGGACCGCACCGCUUGAGGGCGGUAGGGGCUGGUGGAAUGCCUGGUGUAGUGGUGAAAUGCGUAGAGAUCAGGCGGAACACCCGUGGCGAAGGCGGCCAGCUGGGCCGUCCCUGACGCUGAGGCGCGAAGGCGUGGGGAGCGAACGGGAUUAGAUACCCCCGUAGUCC